AUUGACGGCGGCGGCAGGCCUAACACACGCAAGUCGAACGGUAACAGGAAGAAGCUUUUUUUUGUGAUGAGUGGCGGAGGGGUGAGUAAUGUCUGGGAAAACUGCCUGAUGGAGGGGGAUAACUACGGGAAACGGUAGCUAAUACCGCAUAACGUCGCAAGACCAAAGAGGGGGACCUUCGGGCCUCUUGCCAUCGGAUGUGCCCAGAUGGGAUUAGCUAGUAGGUGGGGUAACGGCUCACCUAGGCGACGAUCCCUAGCUGGUCUGAGAGGAUGACCAGCCACACUGGAACUGAGACACGGUCCGGACUCCUACGGGAGGCAGCAGUGGGGAAUAUUGCACAAUGGGCGCAAGCCUGAUGCAGCCAUGCCGCGUGUAUGAAGAAGGCCUUCGGGUUGUAAAGUACUUUCAGCGGGGAGGAAGGGAGUAAAGUUAAUACCUUUGCUCAUUGACGUUACCCGCAGAAGAAGCACCGGCUAACUCCGUGCCAGCAGCCGCGGUAAUACGGAGGGUGCAAGCGUUAAUCGGAAUUACUGGGCGUAAAGCGCACGCAGGCGGUUUGUUAAGUCAGAUGUGAAAUCCCCGGGCUCAACCUGGGAACUGCAUCUGAUACUGGCAAGCUUGAGUCUCGUAGAGGGGGGUAGAAUUCCAGGUGUAGCGGUGAAAUGCGUAGAGAUCUGGAGGAAUACCGGUGGCGAAGGCGGCCCCCUGGACGAAGACUGACGCUCAGGUGCGAAAGCGUGGGGAGCAAACAGG
RNAcentral lists this ribosomal RNA (756 nucleotides) under uncultured Enterobacteriaceae bacterium. RNAcentral describes it as "bacterial SSU rRNA". It matches the Rfam family "Bacterial small subunit ribosomal RNA", at positions 28 to 776 of the family's 1533-position model. The record is from RNAcentral. Lineage: Bacteria; Pseudomonadati; Pseudomonadota; Gammaproteobacteria; Enterobacterales; Enterobacteriaceae.